RNAcentral lists this ribosomal RNA (465 nucleotides) under uncultured Klebsiella sp. RNAcentral describes it as "bacterial SSU rRNA". It matches the Rfam family "Bacterial small subunit ribosomal RNA", at positions 338 to 795 of the family's 1533-position model. Lineage: Bacteria; Pseudomonadati; Pseudomonadota; Gammaproteobacteria; Enterobacterales; Enterobacteriaceae. The record is from RNAcentral.
CCUACGGGAGGCUGCAGUGGGGAAUAUUGCACAAUGGGCGCAAGCCUGAUGCAGCCAUGCCGCGUGUGUGAAGAAGGCCUUCGGGUUGUAAAGCACUUUCAGCGGGGAGGAAGGCGGUGAGGUUAAUAACCUCAUCGAUUGACGUUACCCGCAGAAGAAGCACCGGCUAACUCCGUGCCAGCAGCCGCGGUAAUACGGAGGGUGCAAGCGUUAAUCGGAAUUACUGGGCGUAAAGCGCACGCAGGCGGGCUGUCAAGUCGGAUGUGAAAUCCCCGGGCUCAACCUGGGAACUGCAUUCGAAACUGGCAGGCUAGAGUCUUGUAGAGGGGGGUAGAAUUCCAGGUGUAGCGGUGAAAUGCGUAGAGAUCUGUAGGAAUACCGGUGGCGAAGGCGGCCCCCUGGACAAAGACUGACGCUCAGGUGCGAAAGCAUGGGGAGCAAACAGGAUUAGAUACCCGAGUAGUC